This 506-nucleotide ribosomal RNA is filed under the name uncultured bacterium. RNAcentral describes it as "partial 16S ribosomal RNA". It matches the Rfam family "Bacterial small subunit ribosomal RNA", at positions 29 to 523 of the family's 1533-position model. The record is from RNAcentral.
AGUGAACGCUGGCGGUAGGCCUAACACAUGCAAGUCGAACGGCAGCACAGGAGAGCUUGCUCUCUGGGUGGCGAGUGGCGGACGGGUGAGGAAUACAUCGGAAUCUACUCUGUCGUGGGGGAUAACGUAGGGAAACUUACGCUAAUACCGCAUACGACCUACGGGUGAAAGCAGGGGACCUUCGGGCCUUGCGCGAUUGAAUGAGCCGAUGUCGGAUUAGCUAGUUGGCGGGGUAAAGGCCCACCAAGGCGACGAUCCGUAGCUGGUCUGAGAGGGUGAUCAGCCACAAUGGAACUGAGACACGGUCCUGACUCCUACGGGAGGCAGCAGUGGGGAAUAUGGGACAAUGGGGGCAAGCCUGAGCCAGCCAUACCGCGUGGGUGAAGAAGGCCUUCGGGUUGUAAAGCCCUUUUGUUGGGAAAGAAAUCCAGCUGGCUAAUACCCGGUUGGGAUGACGGUACCCAAAGAAUAAGCACCGGCUAACUUCGUGCCAGCCGCCGCCGUAA